GUGGGGAAUCUUGCGCAAUGGGCGAAAGCCUGACGCAGCCAUGCCGCGUGAAUGAUGAAGGUCUUAGGAUUGUAAAAUUCUUUCACCGGGGACGAUAAUGACGGUACCCGGAGAAGAAGCUCCGGCUAACUUCGUGCCAGCAGCCGCGGUAAUACGAAGGGGGCUAGCGUUGCUCGGAAUUACUGGGCGUAAAGGGCGCGUAGGCGGACAGUUUAGUCAGAGGUGAAAGCCCAGGGCUCAACCUUGGAAUUGCCUUUGAUACUGGCUGUCUUGAGUACGGGAGAGGUGAGUGGAACUCCGAGUGUAGAGGUGAAAUUCGUAGAUAUUCGGAAGAACACCAGUGGCGAAGGCGACUCACUGGCCCGUUACUGACGCUGAGGCGCGAAAGCGUGGGGAGCAAACAGGAUUAGAAACCCCGGUAGUCC
RNAcentral lists this ribosomal RNA (425 nucleotides) under uncultured bacterium. RNAcentral's name for it is "partial 16S ribosomal RNA". It matches the Rfam family "Bacterial small subunit ribosomal RNA", at positions 354 to 796 of the family's 1533-position model. The record is from RNAcentral.